CGCGUGCACUGGUCCGGCCGGGCCUUUCCCUCUGCGGAACCCCAUGCCCUUCACUGGGUGUGGCGGGGAAACAGGACUUUUACUUUGAAAAAAUUAGAGUGCUCAAGGCAGGCCUAUGCUCGAAUACAUUAGCAUGGAAUAAUAGAAUAGGACGUGUGGUUCUAUUUUGUUGGUUUCUAGGACCGGCGUAAUGAUUAAUAGGGACAGUCGGGGGCAUCAGUAUUCAAUUGUCAGAGGUGAAAUUCUUGGAUUUAUUGAAGACUAACUACUGCGAAAGCAUUUGCCAAGGAUGUUUUCAUUAAUCAGGAACGAAAGUUAGGGGAUCGAAGACGAUCAGAUACCGUCGUAGUCUUAACCAUAAACUAUGCCGACUAGGGAUCGGACGAUGUUACAUUUUUGACGCGUUCGGCACCUUACGAGAAAUCAAAGUGCUUGGGCUCCAGGGGGAGUAUGGUCGCAAGGCUGAAACUUAAAGAAAUUGACGGAAGGGCACCACCAGGGGUGGAGCCUGCGGCUUAAUUUGACUCAACACGGGGAAACUCACCAGGUCCAGACACAAUGAGGAUUGACAGAUUGAGAGCUCUUUCUUGAUUUUGUGGGUGGUGGUGCAUGGCCGUUCUUAGUUGGUGGAGUGAUUUGUCUGCUUAAUUGCGAUAACGAACGAGACCUUAACCUGCUAAAUAGCCCGUAUUGCUUUGGGCAGUACGCUGGCUUCUUAGAGGGACUAUCGG
RNAcentral lists this ribosomal RNA (731 nucleotides) under uncultured eukaryote. RNAcentral describes it as "SSU rRNA". It matches the Rfam family "Eukaryotic small subunit ribosomal RNA", at positions 670 to 1426 of the family's 1831-position model. The record is from RNAcentral.